This 487-nucleotide ribosomal RNA is filed under the name uncultured bacterium. RNAcentral describes it as "bacterial SSU rRNA". It matches the Rfam family "Bacterial small subunit ribosomal RNA", at positions 30 to 504 of the family's 1533-position model. The record is from RNAcentral.
CGAACGCUGGCGGCGCGUUUUAAGCAUGCAAGUCGAACGGUAGUAGAGUGCUUGCACUCUAUGAGAGUGGCGAACGGGUGAGUAACACGUAGGUGAUCUAUCUUUGGGGUUCGGGAUAGCCUGUGGAAACACAGGGUAAUACCGGAUACGACCUUUAGAUUGCGGUCUAGAGGGGAAAGUCGCUUAGGCGACGCCCUAAGCUGAGCCUGCGGCUGAUUAGCUAGUUGGUAGGGUAACGGCCUACCAAGGUGACGAUGAGUAGCCGGCCUGAGAGGGUGAUCGGCCACACUGGGACUGAGACACGGCCCAGACUCCUACGGGAGGCAGCAGCUAAGAAUCUUCCGCAAUGGGGGAAACCCUGACGGAGCGACGCCGCGUGGACGAAGAAUGCCGGAAGGUUGUAAAGUCCUUUUCCUGGGGGAGAAUAAUGAGUGGAGGGAAUGCCAUUCAGAUGACGUGAACCAGGGAAUAAGCCCCGGCUAAUUAC